AUACGUAGGGUGCGAGCGUUGUCCGGAAUUACUGGGCGUAAAGAGCUCGUAGGUGGUUUGUCGCGUCGUCUGUGAAAUCCCGGGGCUUAACUCCGGGCGUGCAGGCGAUACGGGCAUAACUUGAGUACUGUAGGGGAGACUGGAAUUCCUGGUGUAGCGGUGGAAUGCGGAGGUAUCAGGAGGAACACCGGGGGCGAAGGGGGGUUUCUGGGCGGUAACUGACGCGGAGGAGCGAAAGAAUGGGUGGGGAACUGGAGUAGAUACCCUGGUAGCCCAUGCCGUAAACGGUGGGCGCUAGGUGUAGGGGUCUUCCACGACUUCUGUGCCGUAGCUAACGCAUUAAGCGCCCCGCCUGGGGAGUACGGCCGCAAGGCUAAAACUCAAAUGAAUUGACGGGG
This 398-nucleotide ribosomal RNA is filed under the name uncultured bacterium. Its description in RNAcentral is "partial 16S ribosomal RNA". It matches the Rfam family "Bacterial small subunit ribosomal RNA", at positions 523 to 918 of the family's 1533-position model. The record is from RNAcentral.